GGCGAUGUGGUGAUGGUGCGAUGAUGUUUGUAGAUUUCAGCAGGCAGGGCGGGAUUCAAUUUUGUGGUUAAUUACACCAAUCCAACACGGCCAACAGCCAGAAGAAACGGACGAUACGCGGGAGUAGAAGAGAAUUAGGUUCGUGAUUAGGCGUUAUAGAUUGUGGCAGCUUGAAAGUGACAGUUGUGUAUGUCGCACGUUUGUGAAAUCGUUCGAUUGUGAGUGAACAAGCAAAAGCACCCCCCCCCCCCCGCAAGAGGAGGGGUGAACCAGCAAGUUUUCAAUCCUCACCACCACCACCCUUCAUUACCUGGUGCUGUAUCACACAGUCCCGCAAGGCCCGCUGCAGAUAGAUGAUGCUCUGCAACAGCUCCACCGGCAUGGCAAACUCUUUCAUCCACUCCCAUUGUUCCUGCAUUUCGGGCUUUGGCUUGGGGGGGGGGACACUGGUCUGAGAAGGUUCUUUUCAGCCCCCCCAGAACCGAAGACACACCAACCGUUGCGACGAGCGACAACAAAACACUCCCGGGUCCGCCGUGCAACCGCGAAAGGGGAGGAAAUUGCCGGAAACUAGGGCGAGUGGCACGGAUUACGAACGAGCGGAUGCACUGCUUGUUGGCCUUUCGCGGUUUUUCUCUGUGUUUCGAACUGUCAAAUGUUUUACGCUGAAUCGCUCGCCAUUGACAGCCGAGAGACCACGCGAGGAAGAAGAACGCGAAAACAAUCUGGCCCCGUGUGCCGUUUGAAUUUCAGCGGAUGGAAAAAAGAUGAUUUUUUGGUGGAGGUUUGAAAGCGGAUGAGAAGAAUUUGCCUGGGAAUAGAAGGAAAUUAUAGAAAAUCAGGGCAUCGUAAAGCCCUUUGUAAUGAGCUAACCAACCGUAGCAGAAGCGUUAAUAUGGCAUAACGGAUCAAUGUGGGAAGCGCAUUAUAUCCGAUCACGACCAUGCAAGGCUCGUCCAUCCUUUUGAACUGCCAGAAUGACCACUCCAGCAAAUAAGUACACAAGCGUUUUCUUCUUUGUUGUCUUUUAUCAUUUAUUUCGUUACGAUAAUGCCCACGAAAGCAAAGUUAACGUUUCGGAAGCGGAGUUUCGUAUCCCUGCGGCUUUACAUACUAUGAACACUUAAUUACCAGCUUCAGCCUUAGCUAAAGCUGACCUUGACCCGUACCCGGCAGUGAUGCGACUAUCGACUGCGAACAAAGAACAAAAUUACAAUUAACUAAAUUCCUUCUAAUGAUGAAACGGGCAGCACGUUAAGAAAUCGGCUACCACCUUGAAAGGACGUAGGAUAAAUGUAAUAAAUAACACAAGAAA
Long non-coding RNA from Anopheles merus, 1315 nucleotides. RefSeq lists it as uncharacterized. The transcript has 4 exons. Lineage: Eukaryota; Metazoa; Arthropoda; Insecta; Diptera; Culicidae. The record is from RefSeq and is a predicted model, not a curated record.